Long non-coding RNA from Mus musculus (house mouse), 364 nucleotides. RefSeq annotates it as predicted gene, 42030. The transcript is spliced from 3 exons. NCBI's taxonomy places the organism in Eukaryota, Metazoa, Chordata, Mammalia, Rodentia, Muridae. The record is from RefSeq and is a predicted model, not a curated record.
GUGGAUGCCACAUGAUUCCAUCACUGUCUUCGUUGAUGUAACCGCAUGGCAUACACCAGAAUGACAGCUCCCAUAAACUUCCAGGAGUUAUGCUGCAUGCGGAUCCAGCACAAACAGGUUAAAACCAGCCAGGCAAGACACAGAGAGACUCCAGUAAGGUCACAAGCAUUAGAGUCACUGCUGGAGAGAUGGGUCGUUGUCAAUGGACACUCCUGUACUGUAUCUUACCCAUGGGGAUCUCGUCCACCCAUGGGCCUUAAGAAAGAAAUGUCGGAAGCAGUGAGGUGCUCAGAGAUUCAUGCUGGAUGACCCUGAAGAGGACCUGGGCUCGAUUCCCUGCACCCACAGGGCACAUAGACACACA